AAAUUGAAGAGUUUGAUCAUGGCUCAGAUUGAACGCUGGCGGCAGGCCUAACACAUGCAAGUCGAACGGUAACAGGAAACAGCUUGCUGUUUCGCUGACGAGUGGCGGACGGGUGAGUAAUGUCUGGGAAACUGCCCGAUGGAGGGGGAUAACUACUGGAAACGGUAGCUAAUACCGCAUAACGUCGCAAGACCAAAGAGGGGGACCUUCGGGCCUCUUGCUAUCGGAUGUGCCCAGAUGGGAUUAGCUAGUAGGUGGGGUAACGGCUCACCUAGGCGACGAUCCCUAGCUGGUCUGAGAGGAUGACCAGCCACACUGGAACUGAGACACGGUCCAGACUCCUACGGGAGGCAGCAGUGGGGAAUAUUGCACAAUGGGCGCAAGCCUGAUGCAGCCAUGCCGCGUGUAUGAAGAAGGCCUUCGGGUUGUAAAGUACUUUCAGCGGGGAGGAAGGGAGUAAAGUUAAUACCUUUACUCAUUGACGUUACCCGCAGAAGAAGCACCGGCUAACUCCGUGCCAGCAGCCGCGGUAAUACGGAGGGUGCAAGCGUUAAUCGGAAUUACUGGGCGUAAAGCGCACGCAGGCGGUUUGUUAAGUCAGAUGUGAAAUCCCCGGGCUCAACCUGG
This 627-nucleotide ribosomal RNA is filed under the name Escherichia coli. RNAcentral's name for it is "bacterial SSU rRNA". It matches the Rfam family "Bacterial small subunit ribosomal RNA", at positions 1 to 617 of the family's 1533-position model. Lineage: Bacteria; Pseudomonadati; Pseudomonadota; Gammaproteobacteria; Enterobacterales; Enterobacteriaceae. The record is from RNAcentral. RNAcentral also lists the same sequence under 1 other name.